GGGGAUGUUUUUUGGAUUCGACGAGUAUAGGUCGAAUUCCGACUGCACUUCGAAGGUUGCGUCUUCGUAAAAACGCUCAGUUUUCGAAUUUAACUGCAAACAAUAAUUCAAACGCUGUUGCAUACGCUGCCUAACAAGUAAGCAUGUAACAAUCCGGCCGGGCUCGUCCAUGGUGCGUUACCGGGUUUCAUAAUUAGUGGACUUACGUUUCAGCUUCCCGUUUGAAGGUUGAAAAAGAGAUUAAUCAAGCUAGCUAGUCAUAGUUGCCUUGAUUAGCGGCGGUUUGGCUAGCGAAUUUCAAGUAGUUAAUCUAUGAGUGUAGAGGUUGGAAUGGCGAUAUAUUCGGACACGGGUUCGACUCCCGUCAUCUCCAU
Molecule: transfer-messenger RNA, 374 nt
Filed under: uncultured Limosilactobacillus sp.
Lineage: Bacteria; Bacillati; Bacillota; Bacilli; Lactobacillales; Lactobacillaceae
Rfam family: transfer-messenger RNA
About the family: Bacterial tmRNA, also known as 10Sa RNA or SsrA, is named for its dual tRNA and mRNA-like properties. Its role is to liberate the mRNA from a stalled ribosome. To accomplish this part of the tmRNA is used as a reading frame that ends in a translation stop signal.
Source: RNAcentral